ACGAGGCACUACGGUGCUGAAGCAACAAAUGCCCUGCUUCCAGGAAAAGCCUCUAAGCAUCAGGUAACAUCAAAUCGUACCCCAAACCGACACAGGUGGUCAGGUAGAGAAUACCAAGGCGCUUGAGAGAACUCGGGUGAAGGAACUAGGCAAAAUGGUGCCGUAACUUCGGGAGAAGGCACGCUGACAUGUAGGUGAAGUGAUUUACUCACGGAGCUGAAGUCAGUCGAAGAUACCAGCUGGCUGCAACUGUUUAUUAAAAACACAGCACUGUGCAAACACGAAAGUGGACGUAUACGGUGUGACGCCUGCCCGGUGCCGGAAGGUUAAUUGAUGGGGUCAGCGCAAGCGAAGCUCCUGAUCGAAGCCCCGGUAAACGGCGGCCGUAACUAUAACGGUCCUAAGGUAGCGAAAUUCCUUGUCGGGUAAGUUCCGACCUGCACGAAUGGCGUAAUGAUGGCCAGGCUGUCUCCACCCGAGACUCAGUGAAAUUGAACUCGCUGUGAAGAUGCAGUGUACCCGCGGCAAGACGGAAAGACCCCGUGAACCUUUACUAUAGCUUGACACUGAACAUUGAGCCUUGAUGUGUAGGAUAGGUGGGAGGCUUUGAAGUGUGGACGCCAGUCUGCAUGGAGCCGACCUUGAAAUACCACCCUUUAAUGUUUGAUGUUCUAACGUGGACCCGUUACCCGGGUUGCGGACAGUGUCUGGUGGGUAGUUUGACUGGGGCGGUCUCCUCCUAAAGAGUAACGGAGGAGCACGAAGGUUGGCUAAUCCUGGUCGGACAUCAGGAGGUUAGUGCAAUGGCAUAAGCCAGCUUGACUGCGAGCGUGACGGCGCGAGCAGGUGCGAAAGCAGGUCAUAGUGAUCCGGUGGUUCUGAAUGGAAGGGCCAUCGCUCAACGGAUAAAAGGUACUCCGGGGAUAACAGGCUGAUACCGCCCAAGAGUUCAUAUCGACGGCGGUGUUUGGCACCUCGAUGUCGGCUCAUCACAUCCUGGGGCUGAAGUAGGUCCCAAGGGUAUGGCUGUUCGCCAUUUAAAGUGGUACGCGAGCUGGGUUUAGAACGUCGUGAGACAGUUCGGUCCCUAUCUGCCGUGGGCGCUGGAGAACUGAGGGGGGCUGCUCCUAGUACGAGAGGACCGGAGUGGACGCAUCACUGGUGUUCGGGUUGUCAUGCCAAUGGCACUGCCCGGUAGCUAAAUGCGGAAGAGAUAAGUGCUGAAAGCAUCUAAGCACGAAACUUGCCCCGAGAUGAGUUCUCCCUGAGACUUUAAGUCUCCUGAAGGAACGUUGAAGACGACGACGUUGAUAGGCCGGGUGUGUAAGCGCAGCGAUGCGUUGAGCUAACCGGUACUAAUGAACCGUGAGGCUUAACC
This 1378-nucleotide ribosomal RNA is filed under the name Salmonella enterica subsp. enterica serovar Havana. Its description in RNAcentral is "bacterial LSU rRNA". It matches the Rfam family "Bacterial large subunit ribosomal RNA", at positions 1569 to 2925 of the family's 2925-position model. Lineage: Bacteria; Pseudomonadati; Pseudomonadota; Gammaproteobacteria; Enterobacterales; Enterobacteriaceae. The record is from RNAcentral.